CAGGGUUUUUGGCAUGGGGGAAACCCUGACCCCGCGACGCCGCGUGAGCGAUGAAGGCCUUCGGGGUGUAAAGCUCUUUCGGCGGGGACGAUAAUGACGGUACCAGAAGAAGAAGCUGCGGCUAACUACGUGCCAGCAGCCGCGGUAAUA
This 150-nucleotide ribosomal RNA is filed under the name uncultured bacterium. RNAcentral describes it as "partial 16S ribosomal RNA". It matches the Rfam family "Bacterial small subunit ribosomal RNA", at positions 356 to 525 of the family's 1533-position model. The record is from RNAcentral.